Molecule: ribosomal RNA, 506 nt
Filed under: uncultured bacterium
Lineage: Bacteria
Description: partial 16S rRNA
Source: RNAcentral
GCACGGAGUUAGCCGGGGCUUCCUCUGGUGGUACAGUCAGGGGCGGAGGAUAUUAGCCCCCACCCGAUUCUUCCCACCUGACAGGGUUUUACGACCCGAAGGCCUUCAUCACCCACGCGGCGUUGCUGCGUCAGGCUUUCGCCCAUUGCGCAAGAUUCCUCACUGCUGCCUCCCGUAGGAGUCUGGACCGUGUCUCAGUUCCAAUGUGGCCGAUCGCCCUCUCAGGCCGGCUACCCAUCGUCGCCUUGGUGGGCCAUUACCCCGCCAACUAGCUAAUGGGCCGCGGGCCCCUCCUCAAGUGAUAGCUUGCAAGCAUUGGCCAUCUUUGAUUCCCAGCCCCGAAGGACCGGGAAUGUAAUCCGGUAUUAGCCCACCUUUCGGCGGGUUAUUCCGAGCUCGAGGGUAGGUUACCCACGUGUUACUCACCCGUUCGCCACUUUACCGGGGAUAUUGCUAUCCCUUUCUCGUUCGACUUGCAUGUGUUAGGCACGCCGCCAGCGUUCGUU